This 153-nucleotide non-coding RNA is filed under the name Burkholderia sp. RNAcentral's name for it is "Glycine sequence". It matches the Rfam family "Glycine riboswitch aptamer". From Rfam's summary of the family: This family represents the bacterial glycine riboswitch. Glycine riboswitches usually consist of two metabolite-binding aptamers domains with similar structures in tandem. The record is from RNAcentral. Lineage: Bacteria; Pseudomonadati; Pseudomonadota; Betaproteobacteria; Burkholderiales; Burkholderiaceae.
UUUUCGCACUCUGGAGAGCGGCAGUAGCCGUCUGCAUCGCAAUGUCGUGCAGAUCCGGCAAGCUGCCCACCGAAGGGGCGCGCGUUCCGCCGUGACGAAUCAACGUCGCCGCGGCAGCGCAAUCUCUCAGGUAUCGAGGACAGAGGGGCCAUG